Long non-coding RNA from Myotis myotis, 5520 nucleotides. RefSeq lists it as uncharacterized. The record is from RefSeq and is a predicted model, not a curated record. NCBI's taxonomy places the organism in Eukaryota, Metazoa, Chordata, Mammalia, Chiroptera, Vespertilionidae. The transcript is spliced from 2 exons.
UAUGUGCCCUGACCUGGAAUUGAACCCACAUUCUUUUGGUGCACAGGACAACACUCCAACCAACGGAUCCACACCAGUCAGGGCAGAAAAAAUAUUUUCUUAUUGCUGAAAUAUUACCUAUGUGAUGUGUGAAUCAUUUUUUGACAAACAUUGGAUGUAGCCACAUAGGAAAGCCUUUCAGGGUCUAGGAAGUGGCCUAAGAACCUUUUGCAUUGAAGCAGAUGGUUUCUUAAUUUUUUUUUUCUUUUACAGUGAACCUCACUGCAGAAAUUUUUGUACUUUACCAGAUAUCAGUAAACAGUCACUGCUUCUAUGAGUCCUUAUCAUAGGACUUAAUUAAUUGGACAAAUGUAUACAAGGGUCUCCUGUGUACCACUCACUAUUUUAGGCAUUGAGAUACAGUUAUGAACAACAAGUCCUUGCUUAGUCCAUGGAGCUUACGUUCUAGUGAGGGGUAGCACACAAACAAGAAAAUAAAUAGCUUGUUAGAUGUUGAUAAAUAUUAUAGAAAAAUAUUAAGUUGAGACAGGCCCUGUUUGGAAGGCUCACGGAUAAUGAAGUGGUACUUGAGGGAUUGAAUGAAGCGACGGAGCCAGCUUUGUGGCGAACAGAGGAGAAAACGUCACAGACUGUCUAGGUGGGUCUGUCUGGGCUUGGCUGGAGCAGUUAGGUAGUGGCAGAUGGAAGGUGUUGAUACCAGAGGGUUAGCAGGAGAGGCCCAAUUAAGGAGGGACUUUGGCACUUAUUCUGAGUGUGCUGGGGAACCAUUGGAAGGAUUUGCGUAGAGGCGUGGUAAGAUCACUCUAAUGAGAACAGUCAGUGGAGGGGAGAGGGGAGAGGCAGGGAGGCUGAUCAGGACGGCUAAUGUAGUCAGCUCUGUGUGACAGCAGGUGGUGGGAGGGGAAAACAGUCACAUGUUGGAUAUAUCAUAAAAGUAGAGCAGACAAGAUAUGCUAGCUAUAGCUAUGAAAGAUAGAAGACUCGGGGAUGACUUCAUGGUUUCUGGAAGGAUGAGGAUGAUAUGUUUUGGAGAAGAGGAUUUUGGGAAGAUCAGGCUCCAUUAAACAGGGAUGGUGGGUUGGUGCUGGUGGUGAGAGUGAGAAGUUCAGUUUCAGAACAAGGAGAGUUUGGGAUGCCUGUUUGUCAUCAAGUAAGGAGUUUGGAGCUCACGGGGCUAGAGAUUUAAGGCUACGGUGCUUUUUUUAAAAAAAUAUAUAUUUUAUUGAUUUCUUACAGAGAGGAAGAGAGAGAGAUAGAGAGUUAGAAACAUUGAUGAGAGAGAAACAUCGAUCAGCUGCCUCCUGCAUACUCCCCACUGGGGAUGUGCCCGCAACCAAGGCACAUGCCCCUUGACCGGAAUCGAACCUGAGACCCUCCAGUCCGCAGGCCAACGCUCUAUCCACUGAGCCAAACCGGCUUUGGCAUACGGUGCUUUUUCAUUCACACCUGACAUCUCUUUAUCAUGAGAAGUAUUUCUUUACUUUAGUGACAUGAGUGCCCAGGACAGAGCUUCACAUGCAGGAGAUGUUUAAUCAGUAUUUGUGGAAUAAACCUGCAGUGGAAAUCUCAAUAUUGUUUUCUGUCAUGACGUAUUUUACUCUAAUCGUGUUUGGUGUUUGAUGUGUGUAUUAUUUUCUUUCAAAUAAACUUUAAUAAAAUGUGACUUUAUGAGUAGUAAUGAGAAGGUUUGAUCACCCUUUGUAAGCAGUAAUUUCGGGAAAUAUGUAGACAUUAGAAAACAGAGCAUGCUGCUGAACUGGAGCAAUUGACACUGCCCCUCAUAACCUCUGUUCCUGACCAUCAUCAGCCCUGCUGUCCUCAGUGGUCAUUAAUAGCCAUUACUUUCUAAUGCUCACACUGUAUGGGAAGUUACAUUUAUGUGCAUCGUAGGUUAUUUUUAAUCAGAAAAAGGGUGUUGGUAGUAACUGGAUUUGGCUUUUGAAACUUACUUUGGCUUAACUUUACUGGGUUUAAGAAACUCACUGUAUUCAUCUAUUCAGGCUGCCAUAACAAGGUAACUUAGACUGAAUGGCUUAAACAAUGGGAGUUUAUUUUCUCACAGUUCUGGAGGCUAGAAGUUUAAGAUCAAGGUUCUGACUGACUCAGUUUCUGGCGAGGGCUCACUUCCUGGCUUGCCGAAGGCCACCUUCCUGUUGUUCUCACAAGGGCUUUCCUCUGUAAAAAUACAGAGAGAACGGGAGAGAGCUCUGGUGUCUCUCCCUCAUUUAUAAGGAUACCUAUUCCAUUGGACCAGGGUCCUACCCUCAUGACCUCAUCUAACCUUGAUUGGCUCCUAAUGGCUCCAUCUUCACAUAUGACAGUGGGAGUUAGGGCUUCCCCAUAUGAAAGGUUUUGUUUGUAGCAUUUAUCAUUAUAGCAUCUUUAAUUACUGGGAUUAUUUUGCAUUUCUACUGAGUGUGACUUUAAGAAAGAACACAUCUCUAGGUAUUUAUAGCCAAGGAAUCAUUCUAGGUAAUGAAAGUGUGUUUGUGAAAAAUAAAUGAAAGAAUAAUACAAAGAUUUAAGUUUACUGAGAAGGGUAAUUUAAAUUUCUGAAAUGCCUACAUUUCAUGUAGAAUAUUUAAAUACAUGUAACUUAUUUACCUACAAAGCACAAAGAAAAGCAACAAUACAUGUAAAAAAUGUUUCUUCAUCCUGGUGGAAUGAUUUAGUGACUUAACAAAUUGUUCAUUUGUAAUUAGAAUUCAAAUAAUGUGCUAGGGUUCUUAAAUUCUUUUCUUAAGUAGGGUAAAUGUGCCCACAUAUAGAUUUAAUUGCAUUAUUAAUUUGUUUAACAUUUUCAUGGUGUAGUCGACUUUUGCACAGACUGAAUUACUAAUUAGUGGAACCUUAAUGAAUAUCGUUUAAUUUUACCACAUAAUGUGGCCUGUGACAUCAUUCGUGAGCUUUCCCCAGGGAGGGAUUGGACUAAGAGGCAUCUCCAUGGAGAUGUUACAUCUGUGUCUGCUUCAUCUGACCCUGACACUCCUGAAGGGACCUGUGAUCGGGAAUAGAUGGAGACAGACACACACACACACAUACACACACACACAUGCACACACACACAUCUAAAAGCAUUGAUAUAGAAUUCCCUUCUUUUUGAUAAGAAGUGGAAAAGGAUAGCAUUCAGAUUUUUGUGUCUCCAUGUUACCCAGCAAAAAUAACCAAGACUGUGAUACAGAUAGUUUGGUUAUAGUUUUCACUGCCACACUGCAUAAAAUUUUAUCUCCUUUCAGCUUUUGAAAUUUAGGCAGGUAUGGGUAAAAGUAAGUUCAAACUUUAGCACACAGGAUAAGCCUUGUCAAAAUUUCACUUUGUUCAAAUAAACAGACUUCAGUAUACCACUAACUGCGCUCCUUCCUGUGUGGCGAGUUAGUUAACUUGACAUUUGGGACAGCAGUUGCCAACCUUUCAGACCUCAUGGACCACCGGGGCUUGCGGGCCACUGGUUGGCAACUGUUGAUUUGGGAAUUAUUGUAGAAAGAUUCAUAUGCAGGAACGGUGUUGGGGGAAUUCUCCCCCUCCCCAGCCCUAUUGUUUUUUGAAAUGAUGAAAACAAAAAAAUUUUGAAUUUAUAUUUUCAGUUUGGCCAAUUGAAAGGAUCAAGAAAACGCAGUGUAAUAAUUGUACAGCAUAUCUUUGUCUACAUACUGUUUCACUGUUUGGCGUGUAAAACUGACCUCUGAGACCCUUUGAGCCAAAAAUAACAGGACCGGGGCUUCAGCCCUGUGGUCCUAGAUUAGAGUUAGUCCAUGCCCACUGAAAGGACACCCAACAUAGCUGCCACCUGAAGGGGAUUUCCAGACAGGAAUGAAUUGAAAUAUGGGAGAAGAAGUCACUUUUCCACGAAAUAGGGUCUCAAGCAAUUCGGUGCAUCUGGCUGAGUAACAUUCUGAGUGAAUGUGGGACCUGCAUCAUGGGCCGUAACUGUGAAAAUUCACACUCCUGCACCCCAGAGACGCGCUGUCACACGCCAGCUACUCUGAGCACUCCACUGGGCUGCGAGGUGCAUUGGGGAACACAGGUGAGUAAGACACGUGCAGGGAAUUCCCAGUGCAGUGAGGGCGGUGCCCAUCUGAGGAGCAUUCAUCCAGCGUCGCGAAGUGCCUGAUGAGGUGGUGUGGGAAAGAGUGAGAGCAGCUGCAAUGUGCAGGUGUCAAAUGAUAGACUCCAUAGCUGUUUCUAGUGAAAGGAUCAUGGUUCCCAAGCAGCCUCUCCUCUACACUUUCUUCCAUCUCAUUUCAUGUUAUAAUUAUUCUUAGGGCUUUGAGCAGAGCAUCCUACACAGUUUAAAGCAGGCAUUUAGAGCAGAGAAUAAAAGAAAGGAGAUUCCAAGACAUUUUGAGCAGUGUUUCCUGUGCUGUCAUAUAUACCCAAAGUAUACAGAACACUAGUCUAUUUCUUAAAGGCUAUUUUGGUAAUUUUGGAUAUUAAGCUCAAAAGCAAUCUUUUGUUAACGAGGAUUUGUUAAAAGAUUUUUUUUUGUGUGUUCAAUAUUAGCAAGUGGACAGUGGACAAAGCAGGCAGUUUUUGCUUUUUGUUUUUGGUAAGGGACGGACAACUUUGCAUCCUACUGAUUAAAGAGAAAAUACCUAAGUAAAUGUCUGUCCUAAAAAUAGAUUCCUUCAGGUUUUUUGGUUUUGUCACACCAGGGGUGGAGUCAUUAAACAGGAAGAAGGAAAUCCAGUAAACAGGAAUUGCGUGCUGAGAUAUUUUUUUGGAAGAGAAAUGGAGGCCCAUGCCCUGAGAAUGUCAGCGGAAUGUUUCACCAUUAUGCGUACCUUUUUAAGAAUGUUGGACUGAAGAGCAUGCCAGUGGUCUUUUCUUUCAUUACCACUGUGGAUGAUGAAUGACCUUCACCCGGACUGCAUGUUGUGCUUAAAGAUUUGAAAAGUGAAUCUAAUUGUAUUUUCACAGAUUAAUACAUUGUGGUGGUUAGCCUCAAUGUUUUCAAUGCUUUAUACUCUAAGGAUUUUUUUUUUCAUGUUAGGUAAAGAUCAUUUUAGUAUAACUUAGACUAUUUUGGUAUAGCCAUGUGUUUUUACUGUGUGUGUGUGUGUUUUCAAGAAAUUGGGAAGAUAUUUAUUUCUUUACAAUAUUAAGUUAGUUUCAGGUGUACAAUAUAGUGACUAGAUAUGUAUCCAGGUAUUAUAUUGAAAAGCACAACCCCUUUCUGGAAAUCCAGCAGGUAAACAGCAAAUAAACCUCAACGUACCUUCCUCUUUUAGAGCAGUUGCUUUUGGAAGCUAUAUAUUAAUUCCAUAACAUUAUUAUUUCUUAAAAUAUUUUGUGGGGGUGUUUCCUUUGUAAUGCCAAGUGUUCAGUUGUGCAGUGACAGCUUUAAGUGUUAUAAAUGUCAGAGGAUUCAGGCUUUUCCCAUUAUGGGGGGAUGGAUGUGAGGAAAGGGUUUCAGUGAUAAUUCUCUAGUCUACCAAGGAGUAGAAAACAAAGUCAAGGAGACUAGCAUGUUAUUUAGCAGGUGGGUGCUGGGAGGAGAUAAUUUAACACUGAUAAUGCCAA